UACGAGUGGUGCAAGCGUUAUUCGGAAUCAUUGGGCGUAAAGGGUGCGUAGACGGUAUGAUAAGUCUGUUGUUAAAUUCCUCGGCUCAACCGAGGAUCUGCGGCGGAAACUAUUGUACUAGAGGAUGGAAGAGAGAAGUGGAAUUCUUGGAGUAGCGGUAAAAUGCGUAGAUCUCAAGAGGAACACCAAUGGCGAAGGCAGCUUCUUGGUCCAUAUCUGACGUUGAGGCACGAAAGCGUGGGGAGCAAACAGG
RNAcentral lists this ribosomal RNA (253 nucleotides) under uncultured bacterium. RNAcentral describes it as "partial 16S ribosomal RNA". It matches the Rfam family "Bacterial small subunit ribosomal RNA", at positions 524 to 776 of the family's 1533-position model. The record is from RNAcentral.